Molecule: long non-coding RNA, 1022 nt
Filed under: Calidris pugnax (ruff)
Lineage: Eukaryota; Metazoa; Chordata; Aves; Charadriiformes; Scolopacidae
Description: lncRNA (ENSCPUG00000014938.1)
Source: RNAcentral
ACAGGCUGUGUUAGAGCUAGGGUAAACAUUUUUAAAGUUACUUAGGACUAAAUCUUAUAAAAUAAUUCUUAAUACCAUUUUCUUAGGUUGUGGUUGCUAGUUCCCUGGAAGGGAAUCCAAUUCUGUGUUAAAUGCAAGGAUCGUCUCUGCACUUCAGAAUCCUGCUAAUCAAGGACUCCUGCUAUCUUGAGGCAGGAUAAAAGAAAAUGCCUCAAAGAAGACACGUUCUGCAAAUAAGUAAGGGAUGUGUCACACGUGCCUGUUCCUCAGAAGACGUGCUAAGGGGAAGACACACAAUGUGGUUUCUUCAGGAGUACCUUAAUGCACCCAAAAUCCCCAGACACACUCUUGGGUAUUGGAAGGAAAAGAUAGCACAGAGUGUCUAUGACCUGUAAGAUUCAUAGUCAGACAGUCACAUAAAGAUAUGCCGGAGUUAGCAGAUUUCUUCUGAAUUUGCACCUGACAAAUGCUAACGACCAGAGGAAGGAUUCCUCCCACAGGCCAAAGCUGCUGCCAACACACUGUACUGCCAUUUGCACUGUCUAGGGCAUAUGGGAAUAGGCUCUGGGAAAAUGCUAAUAACAAAAGUAGAGACCUGUGAAUAAGAAAGUCCUGCCAAACACUGGGACCCAAGACUCCUCGAGGAACUACAAUCCACCUGUGGCAUCAGCAUGGUCUUUGGGAUCCUGCCUACAGAAGCAGAAUGGCUGCCCUAUUUUGAAGGACACCACACACUAUAUGGUACAGACCUACUGAGAAGGAAAGAGGAGCAGUGUAAAGCGUUUCUCCCCUACAAACGGAAAUGAUUUCUAACAAACUCGAGGAUCACUAAUGAAAAAAAAGGUUUAUUUUUAUAUGGUGUGUCAGAAUGUGUGUUUACUGUGUCUCUGGCUGUAUAAACUCUGUUAAAGUUUUGAGAAGCUGUACCUGCCUAAUUCUUUCUGGUGUACUGCUGAGUCAGAAAAAUACAGAGAAUCAAUGAGACAAAUAAAUCUUUUGUAUUGUAUCUAAUAGGUUUACUU